This 210-nucleotide ribosomal RNA is filed under the name uncultured bacterium. RNAcentral describes it as "partial 16S ribosomal RNA". It matches the Rfam family "Bacterial small subunit ribosomal RNA", at positions 8 to 198 of the family's 1533-position model. The record is from RNAcentral.
AGAGUUUGAUCCUGGCUCAGGAUGAACGCUGGCGGCGUGCCUAACACAUGCAAGUCGAGCGAAGCACUUAACUUUGAUCCUUCGGGUGAAGAGUUCUGUGACUGAGCGGCGGACGGGUGAGUAACACGUAGGUAACCUGCCUCACACAGGGGGAUAACAGUUAGAAAUGACUGCUAAUACCGCAUAAGCGCACAGGGCCGCAUGGCCCGG